Non-coding RNA from Gasterosteus aculeatus (three-spined stickleback), 54 nucleotides. The record is from Rfam. NCBI's taxonomy places the organism in Eukaryota, Metazoa, Chordata, Actinopteri, Perciformes, Gasterosteidae.
UUCAAAAUGCAAUGCAAGUCGCUUUGGAUAAAAGCGUCAGCUAAAUGACAUGUA